RNAcentral lists this long non-coding RNA (312 nucleotides) under Capsicum annuum. RNAcentral's name for it is "long non-coding RNA (CANN_LNC020342)". Lineage: Eukaryota; Viridiplantae; Streptophyta; Magnoliopsida; Solanales; Solanaceae. The record is from RNAcentral.
CAGAGUAUUUGGAACCAGAAUGCUCAAGUAGAUCUAGAGUCUUCUUAAGUGAUUCCGCCACACUGCUUCCUCCUUUUGAAGCACUUGCAUUGGACCUCAUUGUUUUUUACGUUAAAGAUCCAAGAAUUAGAGUUGGAGCAGAUGACACUGAAUGUGUUUGUUGCUCCUUGUGACAGCUCCCAAACUUCCGAAAGUAACACCAACGAUGCUUUCUACUUCAGCAGAGAACUUUGAAUCAGAAGCCUUGGAAACAGUUGAUUAAGAAUUGACCUUUUUGGAAGUCAUUUUGUUGUUCUUAAACUUUGAAGUUGG